GUCUCUUUUGGGGACAUCUAAUAGAAUUGGAAUGGUGUAGAGAAGAUUAGCAUGGCCCUUGCAAAAGGAUGACACGUCACACACACAAAUCGACAAUACCUUA
Non-coding RNA from Cucumis melo (muskmelon), 103 nucleotides. The record is from Rfam. Lineage: Eukaryota; Viridiplantae; Streptophyta; Magnoliopsida; Cucurbitales; Cucurbitaceae.